GAGGCGUUGACCGUGGUGGUAUAGGAGGAGGAUGAGGUAGCCAACACUGUUUUUAUAUAUAUAUAUAUAUUUUUUUUUUUUUAAUUGGGGUAGCCCCCAAAAUAUUGGGACAUAUAAAAAAAAAACACCCCUGUUCCGCAGAGUAGCUGUUGAUAUUAUAGUUGCGCAGGAACUUUGUUGACUCUAGAGAACCUCGGGCAAAUCGCACAUCCCCAUAGCGGCGACUUUGCAUGCGGAUGUCAUCCAUAUCAACCUUCGAUGCCAGUUUCUGCGCCUACCAUGGUGACCACGGGUAAUGGGGAAUCAGGGUUCCAUUCUGUACAGGGACCCUGAGAAACGGCUAGCACAUGCAAAGAAGGCAGCAGGUGCGCAAAUGACCCACUCCCGACGCGGGAAGGUAGUGAC
RNAcentral lists this ribosomal RNA (405 nucleotides) under Pelobates cultripes (western spadefoot toad). Its description in RNAcentral is "SSU_rRNA_microsporidia". It matches the Rfam family "Eukaryotic small subunit ribosomal RNA", at positions 106 to 471 of the family's 1831-position model. The record is from RNAcentral. Lineage: Eukaryota; Metazoa; Chordata; Amphibia; Anura; Pelobatidae.